Molecule: long non-coding RNA, 386 nt
Organism: Ahaetulla prasina
Lineage: Eukaryota; Metazoa; Chordata; Lepidosauria; Squamata; Colubridae
Exons: 3
Source: RefSeq, a predicted model, not a curated record
ACGGAUUGCAAAGAGGCGUGCUCUACCUACACACCGGUAUAGGAAAUGCACGGAUCCUUUGCUGCAGCACCUACGGACUGCCAAUAAUCACUCCUAGCUCUUGGAAAUUUUGCAGAUUCCCGGAAUCUAUUGUUCUGUGAAACGGUGGUUGCUGAAAAUGGUCACCUGUGUUUGGCCUGCAGGAAGGAAUCAAUUCACACCAGCCUCCAGCUUUUUUAUCGCUUCGCUUGUCCUCUCCUGUUGACCUCCCUCGUUGACCUCUUCUCCGCGCUGCGUUUAAUGGAGGAGAGGAACUUCACCCUGAUAGAGGGAGCAGAUAUGAUUUAUGGGGGAGAUGAUACCUCCGAACACAUGCAGUGUGACUUUGAAUUGUGCUGUAGGAUGAG